RNAcentral lists this transfer RNA (72 nucleotides) under Camelus bactrianus (Bactrian camel). It matches the Rfam family "tRNA". From Rfam's summary of the family: Transfer RNA (tRNA) molecules are approximately 80 nucleotides in length. Their secondary structure includes four short double-helical elements and three loops (D, anti-codon, and T loops). The record is from Rfam by way of RNAcentral. RNAcentral also lists the same sequence under 3 other names. Lineage: Eukaryota; Metazoa; Chordata; Mammalia; Artiodactyla; Camelidae.
GAGGGUAUAGCUUAGUGGUAGGGCGCAUGCUUAGCAUGCACAAGGUACUGGGUUCAAUCCCCAGAACCUCCU